Molecule: ribosomal RNA, 396 nt
Filed under: uncultured bacterium
Lineage: Bacteria
Description: partial 16S ribosomal RNA
Rfam family: Bacterial small subunit ribosomal RNA
Source: RNAcentral
CCUACGGGGGGCAGCAGUGAGGAAUAUUGGUCAAUGGGCGGGAGCCUGAACCAGCCAAGCCGCGUGAGGGAAGAAGGUACAGCGUAUCGUAAACCUCUUUUGUCAGGGAACAAAGGCGGGGACUAGUCCCCGGAUGAGGGUACCUGAAGAAAAAGCAUCGGCUAACUCCGUGCCAGCAGCCGCGGUAAUACGGAGGAUGCGAGCGUUAUCCGGCUUUAUUGGGUUUAAAGGGUGCGGAGGCGGGCUGUUAAGUUAGCGGUAAAAUGUCCGGGCUUAACACCGGCGCGGCCUUUGAACUUGGCGGGCUAGAGAUGGAGAGAAGUACGCGGAAUGCGCGGUGUAGCGGUGAAAUGCUUAGAUAUCGCGCAGAACCCCGAUUGCGAAGGCAGCGUACCG